UACGUAGGGUGCAAGCGUUAAUCGGAGUUACUGGGCGUAAAGCGUGCGCAGGCGGUUCUAUAAGACAGAUGUGAAAUCCCCGGGCUCAACCUGGGAACUGCAUUUGUGACUGUAGAGCUGGAGUACGGCAGAGGGGGAUGGAAUUCCGCGUGUAGCAGUGAAAUGCGUAGAUAUGCGGAGGAACACCGAUGGCGAAGGCAAUCCCCUGGGCCUGUACUGACGCUCAUGCACGAAAGCGUGGGGAGCAAACAGG
Molecule: ribosomal RNA, 253 nt
Filed under: uncultured bacterium
Lineage: Bacteria
Description: partial 16S ribosomal RNA
Rfam family: Bacterial small subunit ribosomal RNA
Source: RNAcentral